CCGGGCCCUACGGGGCGCAGCAGGCGCGAAACCUUUACACUGCACGCCAGUGCGAUAAGGGGACUCCCAGUGCGAGGGCAUAUCGUCCUCGCUUUUGUGUACCGUAGGGAGGUACACGAAUAAGGGCUGGGCAAGACCGGUGCCAGCCGCCGCGGUAAUACCGGCAGCCCAAGUGAUGACCGCUAUUAUUGGGCCUAAAGCGUCCGUAGCCGGCCACGCAAGUCCGUCGGGAAAUCCGCACGCCUAACGUGCGGGCGUCCGGCGGAAACUGCCUGGCUUGGGACCGGAAGACCAGAGGGGUACGUCCGGGGUAGGAGUGAAAUCCCGUAAUCCUGGACGGACCACCGGUGGCGAAAGCGCCUCUGGAAGACGGAUCCGACGGUGAGGGACGAAAGCUCGGGUCACGAACCGGAUUAGAUACCCGGGUAGUCCGAGCCGUAAACGAUGUCUGCUAGGUGUACCACUGGCUACGAGCCAGUGGUGUGCCGUAGGGAAGCCGUGAAGCAGACCGCCUGGGAAGUACGUCCGCAAGGAUGAAACUUAAAGGAAUUGGCGGGGGAGCACUAC
This 567-nucleotide ribosomal RNA is filed under the name Natribaculum sp. Its description in RNAcentral is "bacterial SSU rRNA". It matches the Rfam family "Archaeal small subunit ribosomal RNA", at positions 316 to 882 of the family's 1478-position model. The record is from RNAcentral. Lineage: Archaea; Methanobacteriati; Methanobacteriota; Halobacteria; Halobacteriales; Natrialbaceae.